This 1419-nucleotide ribosomal RNA is filed under the name uncultured bacterium. Its description in RNAcentral is "16S ribosomal RNA". It matches the Rfam family "Bacterial small subunit ribosomal RNA". The record is from RNAcentral.
AGAGUUUGAUCCUGGCACAGGACGAACGCUGGCGGCGUGCCUAAUACAUGCAAGUCGAACGCUUCUUUUUCCACCGGAGCUUGCUCCACCGGAAAAAGAGGAGUGGCGAACGGGUGAGUAACACGUGGGUAACCUGCCCAUCAGAAGGGGAUAACACUUGGAAACAGGUGCUAAUACCGUAUAACAAUCGAAACCGCAUGGUUUUGAUUUGAAAGGCGCUUUCGGGUGUCGCUGAUGGAUGGACCCGCGGUGCAUUAGCUAGUUGGUGAGGUAACGGCUCACCAAGGCGACGAUGCAUAGCCGACCUGAGAGGGUGAUCGGCCACAUUGGGACUGAGACACGGCCCAAACUCCUACGGGAGGCAGCAGUAGGGAAUCUUCGGCAAUGGACGAAAGUCUGACCGAGCAACGCCGCGUGAGUGAAGAAGGUUUUCGGAUCGUAAAACUCUGUUGUUAGAGAAGAACAAGGAUGAGAGUAACUGUUCAUCCCUUGACGGUAUCUAACCAGAAAGCCACGGCUAACUACGUGCCAGCAGCCGCGGUAAUACGUAGGUGGCAAGCGUUGUCCGGAUUUAUUGGGCGUAAAGCGAGCGCAGGCGGUUUCUUAAGUCUGAUGUGAAAGCCCCCGGCUCAACCGGGGAGAGUCAUUGGAAACUGGGAGACUUGAGUGCAGAAGAGGAGAGUGGAAUUCCAUGUGUAGCGGUGAAAUGCGUAGAUAUAUGGAGGAACACCAGUGGCGAAGGCGGCUCUCUGGUCUGUAACUGACGCUGAGGCUCGAAAGCGUGGGGAGCAAACAGGAUUAGAUACCCUGGUAGUCCACGCCGUAAACGAUGAGUGCUAAGUGUUGGAGGGUUUCCGCCCUUCAGUGCUGCAGCUAACGCAUUAAGCACUCCGCCUGGGGAGUACGACCGCAAGGUUGAAACUCAAAGGAAUUGACGGGGGCCCGCACAAGCGGUGGAGCAUGUGGUUUAAUUCGAAGCAACGCGAAGAACCUUACCAGGUCUUGACAUCCUUUGACCACUCUAGAGAUAGAGCUUCCCCUUCGGGGGCAAAGUGACAGGUGGUGCAUGGUUGUCGUCAGCUCGUGUCGUGAGAUGUUGGGUUAAGUCCCGCAACGAACGCAACCCUUAUUGUUAGUUGCCAUCAUUUAGUUGGGCACUCUAGCAAGACUGCCGGUGACAAACCGGAGGAAGGUGGGGAUGACGUCAAAUCAUCAUGCCCCUUAUGACCUGGGCUACACACGUGCUACAAUGGGAAGUACAACGAGUCGCAAAGUCGCGAGGCUAAGCUAAUCUCUUAAAGCUUCUCUCAGUUCGGAUUGUAGGCUGCAACUCGCCUACAUGAAGCCGGAAUCGCUAGUAAUCGCGGAUCAGCACGCCGCGGUGAAUACGUUCCCGGGCCUUGCACUCACCGCCCGUCA